Long non-coding RNA from Sebastes umbrosus (honeycomb rockfish), 665 nucleotides. RefSeq lists it as uncharacterized. The transcript is spliced from 3 exons. The record is from RefSeq and is a predicted model, not a curated record. Lineage: Eukaryota; Metazoa; Chordata; Actinopteri; Perciformes; Sebastidae.
CUCUCUCUCUCUCCGUCCGUCCAUAUGUAAAACCUCCCAACACAAUAAUAAGGAAAGACAAUUUAGUAUAAGAGAAUUCAUGUUUCAAUGUUAUAUCACAUUAUAAAUUCUUUAACAUUUAGGCAAUUUAGCAAAUAAAUAUGGUAUGAGCUUCCAAUAUAAAAUGUUUGUAACAUUGUAAAAAAUAGAAGGUCAGUUAUCUUGGUAGAAAAAUUUGUUUUUGUGUUUGUGAACUGAAGCCAUGAUGAGAAAAUUAUAUAUAUUAAUAUAUUGAGAAAACUCAAUAUACAAUAUGCACCAACCACUACAACCACAUCACCUUACCGAAGCACAAUUGCUCCUUUAAGCAAGCUUCCUCUGCAGUUUGCUGUUCAUGUGGACUCAUACGAUGCUCCUUCAUGCCUUUAUGGAGAUUACUUUCCCACUUUCUUGUCACCAACUCCGAAUAAUGGAGUGAAUCUGCCUGCCUUUGUCAACCGCACCCUCAAAAUCAAAGUCAGAUCCAGAGCACAAUACACCACGAUUGUUGGCCUGGUUGUCACUGGACCAAAGGGCAUUUCAAAUCAGCAAAUCUCCACAGAAGAAUAUGUCAUAAAAUGGACACCAACAGAAAAUUAAUUGAAUGAUGAUUUUCCAUCAUUUGCUUUGUUUCAGAAGCAAGAGAC